Molecule: ribosomal RNA, 253 nt
Filed under: uncultured bacterium
Lineage: Bacteria
Description: partial 16S ribosomal RNA
Rfam family: Bacterial small subunit ribosomal RNA
Source: RNAcentral
UACGUAGGGGGCAAGCGUUGUCCGGAAUCAUUGGGCGUAAAGAGCGUGUAGGCGGUUCGGUAAGUCGGAUGUGAAAGCCCCGGGCUCAACCCGGGAAGUGCACUCGAUACUGCCGAGCUAGAGUAUCGGAGAGGUUGGUGGAAUUCUCGGUGUAGAGGUGAAAUUCGUAGAUAUCGAGAGGAACACCGGUGGCGAAGGCGGCCAACUGGACGAAUACUGACGCUGAGACUCGAAAGCGUGGGGAGCAAACAGG